RNAcentral lists this ribosomal RNA (926 nucleotides) under Pasteurellaceae bacterium HumaH3. RNAcentral's name for it is "bacterial SSU rRNA". It matches the Rfam family "Bacterial small subunit ribosomal RNA", at positions 52 to 970 of the family's 1533-position model. Lineage: Bacteria; Pseudomonadati; Pseudomonadota; Gammaproteobacteria; Pasteurellales; Pasteurellaceae. The record is from RNAcentral.
UACCAUGCAAGUCGAACGGUAACAUGAGUGCUUGCACUUGAUGACGAGUGGCGGACGGGUGAGUAAAGUAUGGGGAUCUGCCAGAUGGAGGGGGACAACAGUUGGAAACGACUGCUAAUACCGCAUAAAGUUGAGAGACCAAAGUACGGUUCCGUGAGGACGUGCGCCAUUUGAUGAACCCAUAUGGGAUUAGCUAGUUGGUGAGGUAAUGGCUUACCAAGGCGACGAUCUCUAGCUGGUCUGAGAGGAUGACCAGCCACACUGGAACUGAGACACGGUCCAGACUCCUACGGGAGGCAGCAGUGGGGAAUAUUGCACAAUGGGGGGAACCCUGAUGCAGCCAUGCCGCGUGUAUGAAGAAGGCCUUCGGGUUGUAAAGUACUUUCGGUAGUGAGGAAGUUUUGGGUAUGAAAAGUGCCUAGAAUUGACGUUAGUUACAGAAGAAGCACCGGCUAACUCCGUGCCAGCAGCCGCGGUAAUACGGAGGGUGCGAGCGUUAAUCGGAAUGACUGGGCGUAAAGGGCAUGUAGGCGGAUAAUUAAGUUAGGUGUGAAAUCCCUGGGCUCAACCUAGGAAUUGCAUUUAAAACUGGUUAUCUGGAGUAUUGUAGAGGAAGGUAGAAUUCCACGUGUAGCGGUGAAAUGCGUAGAGAUGUGGAGGAAUACCGGUGGCGAAGGCGGCCUUCUGGACAGAUACUGACGCUGAGAUGCGAAAGCGUGGGGAGCAAACAGGAUUAGAUACCCUGGUAGUCCACGCUGUAAACGAUGUCGAUUUGGAGUUUGUUGCCUAGAGUGAUGGGCUCCGAAGCUAACGCGAUAAAUCGACCGCCUGGGGAGUACGGCCGCAAGGUUAAAACUCAAAUGAAUUGACGGGGGCCCGCACAAGCGGUGGAGCAUGUGGUUUAAUUCGAUGCAACGCGAAGAACC